This is a long non-coding RNA of Melospiza melodia melodia, 935 nucleotides long. RefSeq lists it as uncharacterized. The record is from RefSeq and is a predicted model, not a curated record. NCBI's taxonomy places the organism in Eukaryota, Metazoa, Chordata, Aves, Passeriformes, Passerellidae. The transcript has 5 exons.
CGCCCCAGCCCAGCGGCGCCUGUGCUGUCUCCAGGCCGCCGCUCAGCAGCCUGUAAAUGCAAGAGCGCUGCUGCUCCUGUAAACACAGUCUGAUUAUGAGUGUGACAGGCUGUGCUCAGGGAACCAUAGCGCUCCGGAGCUGUUUGGGAGAUUUUCUCCUGCCAUAGGCACUGUUCCCAUGGGGAGAUGGCUGUUCAUUACCUGACCAGUGCACAAGAAUAGUUCACCAUGGAGCAGGAACAGAGAAGACUCUGAGAUAAAGAUUUUCAACACUUCAGGGAAAGGAUUUAGGGCAUUUAUUGCCUUAACAGUUUGACUGAAACCCAUUCAUGGUUUGACAGUGAUGUGCUGGUAAAAUGUUCUUUCACCUCCUUAGCCACUUCUCUAGCACAGAACCAAAUAUGUAAAAAAGCUGGGAAAUACUUUUUGAAAGUCACUUUUUCCACUAGAAGAUAUAUCAGCUUGAAGCCUUCCACCUGAGGCAAACUGAGUUUCUACAAGCCUGGGUUUGUUUCAGUGCUCAGCUGCAACACCCAGCCUGCCAAAAGUGUCUCUGAGGUGAAACACCACAGUUGCCGCCUUUAGCCCAGCAGCAAGGGUCAGACGAGCCAGGGCACAAUCUACCUGGUAAUAUUGGGAUCAUAUUCCAAUAUUUUGGCGCCCAACCUGGGGCAGAGUGACUCUGCAGCCCCAAGAGGAGCCUCAGUACCUUGGAAAGACUUCAGCAGCUGAGCAUCCAGCUGAAAGAGCUCUGACUGCAUUGCUCUCAGCAGAGACUUUGGGAAUAACCCACAAAAAGCCUUGUGAACUGUUCGGCACCUUUGGAAUAUACAUCACAGCAUUAAAGUCCUGGUUGUAGACAAAAUUAAAAACACUAUAACACUAUAAAGAGGCAAAGUUGCAGGUGAUUCCAGUAACAAAAAAAAAAAAAAAAA